This 422-nucleotide long non-coding RNA is filed under the name Ananas comosus (pineapple). RNAcentral describes it as "long non-coding RNA (ACOM_LNC012865)". The record is from RNAcentral. Lineage: Eukaryota; Viridiplantae; Streptophyta; Magnoliopsida; Poales; Bromeliaceae.
UCACUUAAAAAAUAAGAUAAAAGUAAACUUUAAAUACCAUCUAUGUGGUUUCGCACUUUCUCACUGUAAUAUCAUGUGGUUUAAAGUGUAUCAAUUUAGUAUCCUGUUGUUUUAUUUUUAGUUUUUCGUCAGUUCCUCCGUUAAUAUUUUGUUAAAUUAUAUACAAAAACUUCAGAUACUCCACCCAGAUUUAUUGAAUAUUCACUUUAAAAUCUUUUAGUUUUAACUUUAUCAUUAAUUUAAUAAAAAAAUUAGCGAAAGUGAUAAUAAAAAGAGAAAAAUAAAAUCACAGAGUACUAAAUUGAUACAUUUUAAAUUAUAAGAUACUAAAAUAAAAAAGUGCGUAGUUUUAGGAGUGGUAUUUGAAGUUUUUUCUAAAAAUAUAUAUAUAAGGAAAAUGGAUGAGCCUACUUUAAAAUGAU